AAAGGAGUAUCCGUACUCUUCAACCCUUUGUGAACUUACCCUCUGUCAGUUGCUUCGGCGGGAGGCCCCUGGGAGGGGCCCCGGGGCCCGGUCCUGAGCCGGGCUCCCGCCGGGGGAGCGCAACCAAAACUCUUGCUGUACCUCAGUGGCACCUCCGAGUAAAUACAAAAAAACAAGUUAAAACUUUCAACAACGGAUCUCUUGGUUCU
This 209-nucleotide unclassified non-coding RNA is filed under the name rhizosphere metagenome. RNAcentral describes it as "partial ribosomal RNA internal transcribed spacer region". The record is from RNAcentral.